RNAcentral lists this ribosomal RNA (406 nucleotides) under bacterium enrichment culture clone ALO1_GLFRUDD03HA2RD. RNAcentral's name for it is "bacterial SSU rRNA". It matches the Rfam family "Bacterial small subunit ribosomal RNA", at positions 9 to 416 of the family's 1533-position model. The record is from RNAcentral.
GAGUUUGAUCGUGGCUCAGAUUGAACGCUGGCGGCAUGCCUUACACAUGCAAGUCGAACGGCAGCACGGGAGCUUGCUCCUGGUGGCGAGUGGCGAACGGGUGAGUAAUGCAUCGGAACGUAUCCUGGAGUGGGGGAUAACGUAGCGAAAGUUACGCUAAUACCGCAUAUUCUGUGAGCAGGAAAGCGGGGGACCUUCGGGCCUCGCGCUCUUGGAGCGGCCGAUGUCGGAUUAGCUAGUUGGUGAGGUAAAGGCUCACCAAGGCGACGAUCCGUAGCAGGUCUGAGAGGAUGAUCUGCCACACUGGAAUUGAGACACGGUCCAGACUCCUACGGAGGCAGCAGUGGGGAAUUUUGGACAAUGGGGGCAACCCUGAUCCAGCCAUGCCGCGUGAGUGAAGAAGGCC